Molecule: ribosomal RNA, 498 nt
Filed under: uncultured bacterium
Lineage: Bacteria
Description: partial 16S ribosomal RNA
Rfam family: Bacterial small subunit ribosomal RNA
Source: RNAcentral
AUUGAACGCUGGCGGCAUGCCUUACACAUGCAAGUCGAACGGUAACAGGUCUUCGGAUGCUGACGAGUGGCGAACGGGUGAGUAAUACAUCGGAACGUGCCUAGUAGUGGGGGAUAACUACUCGAAAGUGUGGCUAAUACCGCAUGAGAUCUACGGAUGAAAGCAGGGGAUCGCAAGACCUUGUGCUACUAGAGCGGCCGAUAGCAGAUUAGGUAGUUGGUGGGAUAAAAGCUUACCAAGCCGACGAUCUGUAGCUGGUCUGAGAGGACGAUCAGCCACACUGGGACUGAGACACGGCCCAGACUCCUACGGGAGGCAGCAGUGGGGAAUUUUGGACAAUGGGCGAAAGCCUGAUCCAGCAAUGCCGCGUGCAGGAUGAAGGCCUUCGGGUUGUAAACUGCUUUUGUACGGAACGAAAAGCCCUGGGUUAAUACCCUGGGGUCAUGACGGUACCGUAAGAAUAAGCACCGGCUAACUACGUGCCAGCCGCCGCCGUAA